ACCAUCCGUAGACCGUCGGUCUACCGGGCAAUAUUACCCGCUCACUGGAAGAUCUUCCCUUUGUCCU
Molecule: microRNA precursor, 67 nt
Filed under: Bombyx mori (domestic silkworm)
Lineage: Eukaryota; Metazoa; Arthropoda; Insecta; Lepidoptera; Bombycidae
Description: mir-2774 microRNA precursor family
Rfam family: mir-2774 microRNA precursor family
Source: Rfam by way of RNAcentral